This 69-nucleotide transfer RNA is filed under the name Ictidomys tridecemlineatus (thirteen-lined ground squirrel). Its description in RNAcentral is "Spermophilus tridecemlineatus (thirteen-lined ground squirrel) tRNA". It matches the Rfam family "tRNA". From Rfam's summary of the family: Transfer RNA (tRNA) molecules are approximately 80 nucleotides in length. Their secondary structure includes four short double-helical elements and three loops (D, anti-codon, and T loops). The record is from Rfam by way of RNAcentral. Lineage: Eukaryota; Metazoa; Chordata; Mammalia; Rodentia; Sciuridae.
GGGAUUGUGGCUCAGUGGUACAGCACUUGCCUAGCAUGCAUGAGGCACUGGGUUCUAUCCUCAGCACCA